This is a non-coding RNA of Mesocricetus auratus (golden hamster), 125 nucleotides long. The record is from Rfam. Lineage: Eukaryota; Metazoa; Chordata; Mammalia; Rodentia; Cricetidae.
UGUGUGUGUGUUUGUGUUGAACUAGUUGACAGGGACAUAAAGAGAGACACAAGAAUAAAGUUGCUUUUGCAACCCAGAAGUCACUGUUCAUCAAUAUGAUUAUUAAUACAUAUAAGAGAAAAAUG